CUGGCCCUCCCCCAGAAGGGGUGACGAUUUGCUCCCCAGCAUUCCGUGAUUAAAGGGGGAAAUGGCGGAGCGACUUGAAGUGAAUAUUUAAGGUUUUUUCUCCUCCUGAAGUAAGUUUCUGAUGAAUGAUUCCAUCUUUUAGCGUACGACUUGAUAAGAUUUUUAAGAUUUCGAUCUCGUAACACCUUCAUAACAGCUGGAAGAGUCAGCCUCGAACUAUCCUCUUUUGAGUCUUGAUGCAUGUCCUAAAGUUUGAGAUCUUUAGAAUCAUGAAAGUCCUGAAAAUGAUUGCAUAAACAAGACAGAACAAAGACGUUUAUAUCCAAUCAGAGAUUUGUAGAAGAGCAAUGAAUGUGCUAUUGACAAAGUUCAAUUCAGAUUGUGAGAGGAAGCAAAGAAGAACGAAAAAGUCUAAGACAAGGAAAAGGCUUAAAAUGUUGGUUUAGCGAUCUAGUACCAGUUAAAUAUUUAUUAGACACAUAAUAAAGAUAUUAAAUAUCUCUGUGUUACGCUUUGUGGA
Molecule: long non-coding RNA, 520 nt
Organism: Pocillopora damicornis (cauliflower coral)
Lineage: Eukaryota; Metazoa; Cnidaria; Anthozoa; Scleractinia; Pocilloporidae
Source: RefSeq, a predicted model, not a curated record